This 499-nucleotide ribosomal RNA is filed under the name uncultured bacterium. Its description in RNAcentral is "partial 16S ribosomal RNA". It matches the Rfam family "Bacterial small subunit ribosomal RNA", at positions 28 to 507 of the family's 1533-position model. The record is from RNAcentral.
GAUGAACGCUGGCGGCGUGCCUAAUACAUGCAAGUCGAGCGAACAGACGAGAGUGCUUGCACUCUCUGACGUUAGCGGCGGACGGGUGAGUAACACGUGGGUAACCUACCUAUAAGACUGGGAUAACUUCGGGAAACCGGAGCUAAUACCGGAUAAUAUUUAGCUUCGCAUGAAGCAAUAGUGAAAGACGGUUCUGCUGUCACUUAUAGAUGGACCCGCGGUGUAUUAGCUAGUUGGUGAGGUAACGGCUCACCAAGGCAACGAUACAUAGCCGACCUGAGAGGGUGAUCGGCCACACUGGGACUGAGACACGGCCCAGACUCCUACGGGAGGCAGCAGUAGGGAAUCUUCCGCAAUGGACGAAAGUCUGACGGAGCAAUGCCGCGUGAGUGAAGAAGGUUUUCGGGUCGUAAAACUCUGUUGUAAGGGAAGAACAAGUACGUUAGUAACUGAACGUACCUUGACGGUACCUUACCAGAAAGCCACGGCUAACUACGUG